Long non-coding RNA from Sinocyclocheilus rhinocerous, 1750 nucleotides. RefSeq lists it as uncharacterized. NCBI's taxonomy places the organism in Eukaryota, Metazoa, Chordata, Actinopteri, Cypriniformes, Cyprinidae. The transcript is spliced from 2 exons. The record is from RefSeq and is a predicted model, not a curated record.
UGGCAUUUUUAUUAAGUUCACUUUGACAUCAUUACAGGGACCACAAGUUUUCCUGUUUGCAUCCAAAAGCUCCCACAUAUUAACUUAAUUCAAAACUAACAAACUGAAUGUAGAUGUUAGUCAUCACAUCUAGUCUUCAAGAGUCCAAAGCAAAAAGAAUGUGAUCUCCGUCAACCCUUCUCAGAGAGAAACACAGGAAAGAAGAAACAGCAAACAUGCCAAGGUACUACAGGAAUAAGUAAAAAAAAAAAAAAUUCUAAUAUUAAACUGAACCUCAGAAGAGAAGAAAACGGAUAAUAAGACGAAGAACCUAAACAGAGAGGUUUGCAUCUAUUAAAAAAUUAGUUAUAUAGUCAUAAUUUACCCUUAAACGCAAAGAAAACAAUGUGGUAAUGCAAACUGUCAAGAGCUUGACCUGUUCUUCGAAAGCAACACCGCACAUGUGAUCUCGACUGUAGAACAUGCUAGUUAAGCAACACAAUGACAAGACACUUCCGUCUGAAUCUGAUCAUGUGUGUGAACAUGCAUACGACACAAAAAGGGUGAGAGAGAGAGAGAGAGAGAAAAUCAUGUACAGCAAAUCAAAGUAUAUUAGAAAGGGGCAAUAAUCAUAGAACAAACUUUUAAAAUGUGAUGGAACGUGUUAGUGUUAAACCUUCAAUUUUCCAAUUUGGACAUGCUUCCAACUGCAUCAGCUGGAAUGUUAAGCGAACAAUGCAAUAAAACCAUCAGGAGCUGACAGACUAUGCAGUAACAAAAGCAACAAUAUGACUGUAACUUGAUAUAUGGUAGAUAAUCCAUUUAUCACGUCGUAACUGUGCGCAUAAAUGCAUUUGAGUAGUUUUUGCGCGGACUGACGCUGCUUUUAAAACACAGCGGCCCAACCUGAAGCUAUUUUUACUACGCUACCCCUUCCCUUUCAGAAAUAAACUCACCCUUGUAGUUGUAUCCUAAAAGCCAACCGUGUUUACAGUGGGGUUUCGACUUAAGGAAAAACAGUGUUACCACAUGUGAUUAGUAAGUGUAAUUAUCCAGCUUAAAUAAUCGUUCUUUGCAGCCUUUUAAAAUAUUUAAACCUCUUCAGUGCCCAAGGUGGUAAACGAUGCCCCAAAAUGCUGACAAAAAAAACGUACUUAGUCUUACUUUUCUAAAUUACAUGAAUUAUGGGCGCUGGCCCCGUUUCAACAAAAAUCGAUGACUUGUGGGGCCAACAUCACAUCAAGCAGAAAGUUAUUGCCUUUCUCUCCUAUAUUCUGGUGCUCUGACGAUCCUAUACAUAAAACUCAAUCUUAAGGUUAUUCAUAUUUAUUGUUACGAAGCCAAUGUCAGACAGGGGACUUAAAGCAGCCAUCCUAAUCGAGAUAUAAUAUAAUAACUAUUAUUUGAAGAGUAAUAACAAUAACAUUUACAUGUGAUCUCAACUCAGAUGACUGAGUGCGAGAGAGGUGCGAAAGAGACAAAUAUAAGAGCUGUAUAUUUGUUUUUUUUAAAUAUAAAAAGCAACACUAACUACUUCACAGCAAAGAGCCUGUUGUAAUCGAACUAUAUAUACAUACACAAUUUAAAAUUGCGCCAAUAACAGGAAGGAGAGUGAACUAGACCGAAUUAUCACUGCUGGUAGCGUCCCGAUCCAUCCUGACUGAUCAAAACGUGCAAGUCUAGAAAUGUUCAGUGCAUUUCAGACGAAUACGUACACAUUUUUCGAAGCACAAAGAGGGGGGAAAGUAUGUUUCAUAAAGUUCUCUAUUUU